AGAAAAAGAGUGAAGGGAGACCAAAAUGGACAUACAGAAUGGGAGAUGGAGAAAUAUUAAAAGUUCAAGAAAAGAGAGAUCUGGGAGUGACAAUACAAGAUAAUCAACAAUCUGAGAGUCAUGUAAAUAGGAUAUUCGGUGAUACGCAUAGAAUGGUAAGAAAUGUAGGAUUAGCAUUCCACUACAUGGAUAAGGAUAUGAUGGAAAAGAUGAUUACCACUAUGAUUAGACCAAAAUUGGAAUUGCAGAAACUGUGUGGUCUCCCCAUAAAAAGAAACACGUGAAAAAACUAGAAAUAAUACAAAGGAUGGCAAUGAAAAUGGUUCCAGAACUGGAGGGAUUGUCAUAUGAAGAAAGAUCAAGGGAAAUGGACCUGCCAACAUUGGAAUAAAGAAGAGAAAGGGGAGACCUAAUACAAAUGAUUAAUUAUGGAAUAAUAUGGAAGAAGUAGAUAAUGAAGAGUUACUACUAAGAGAAGGAAGAAGCACCAGCAACACACAAGGACACAGUAAAAAAGAAAAGGAAGAUGCUUGAGAGACUUAAAGAAAUAUAGCUUCCUGCAAAGAAAUAGAGGUUUGGAACAGACUAAGUGAGGAUGUAGUAUCAGCGAAGAGUGUGCACAACUUUAAGGAAAAGUUGGACAAAUACAGAUAUGGAGACGGGACCACACGAGCAUAAGCCCAGGCCCUGUAAAACUACAACUAGGUAAACAAGGUAAAUACACACACACACACACACACACACACACACACACACACACACACCAUUUAAUUAUUUAUACUCCAUAGGAAAUGUAUAUUAUAUUGUUAAAGUUUAUUUAGAUAUAUUUCAAAAGUAAGAGUUUAUGCAACUUUGAUGCCUAUACAAUUAUUCUGUUUUAAAUUGUUCUAUGAUGAAGGCUUGCUAGAUUUCAGAAGGUAAAAAAUAUGAAGUAAUUGACUUUGUUAUACUCUCAAUUAAUACUUAACUUUUUUGAUAUUAAUUAUUCCAGUUACAGCUGAAGCACAAAUUUAUAAAGAAAAAUAUGAAAUUUGUUACUCAAAUCUUGUAUAUAAAGAACUUUGCUUUGGAAAGACUCCUUAGUCAUUCCAAAUGUAUGUAAAAAAAUAAUUGAUGUCCAUCAGUUUAAUGAAAUUAAUAGAAGUUAUUUAUCAGCCAAAUGUAAUGAUACCUGAGAAAUCUUUAUCACAAAUUUUCCAUUUUGAUCGUUGUUUCUUUUUUUGUUACCAGUUACAAGGAUUGAUUUGAUAGGUAAAUUAUAUAUGAUAAUUAAUUGUUGAUAUUGUUUUAACUAAGUAAAAUCUCCACCCUCUGGAGCAAGAGAUUAUAAUAUGUAGAUGAUGAUUCCCCGUUUUUUUGGUGUUCUAGACCACAGUCUCUUCAGCUUAAGAAGAUAUCUAACUUUUUAUUUAAUUAUUUCAAAGCAUCAUACACAACCUAGAGGAGAGUCCUACUGAAAUAAUUACAUGUUCUUCUACACAGAUUAUCAUUGAAACAACUUAACCCGGUAGCAGCGGGGAUCAUGUUUCUUAAUGGUCCCUCCAUGGGAGAAAAAUGAGAAAAAAUCACCCCUCACACAAACCAUUUCAUAAUAUAUAUCCAAGCAUUUGUGAUCAGAUUAUGUAUCAUCUAUUUUGAGGGGUUUAUAUCAUGGCACAAAUUUGGUCCGUCGCUGCUACACGGUAAAGCCACAAAUUUGGCCCGUCACUGCUACCGGGUUAAAUUUCCUAAUGGUUAUUGUGCCUUGAGAAGCCAAGCAGUGACUCUGAAUGCCUUGCAGUUUAGAAAUGUCAGACUUAUCCUAAGCUGGUAGAGACAAUUGGUUUAGAAUUCUUUGACAGCAUAUUCUCUGUUCAUCUUAACAAAAAGAUGUAUUUGAGAUAAGCUUGGACCUUUCUUUGUAGUAAUCGUGUCCUGAUACUAAAUUGAUAAAAUAAUAAAACUGUUGUAUGUAAGCACUAUACACUGAUGGAAAGAGUUUGAAACAAUUUGGUUUGUUUUUUUAUUUAGUAUUUACAGGAAUAAGAUAAAAAAAAAAUUGACUUAAAUAAUAAACUCAUGAAGGCACUGCAUAUGAACAACUACAAGUAGAAUAUUGCCAUCCACUCAAGGACAUUGCAGAUGAUUGUUUUGACAUCCAAUGCAUAUCUGUGUUUCUCAAACCUAUUUUUCUUUCCCAGUGAUUUGAGGGACCGUUGGUUUAUUUACUCAUGGCGGUAACAAAAGAAUUCAUCCCAUGAUGUUGCCUAAUUUAUGCAAAAAAAAACAUUGUGAUGAAGUGUCAUUUCUGCACUUCCUGAAAAAAAUUAUAAAUCCCUUUAAUAAUGACACAUGUAUACAUAAAUCAAGAAAUCAUUUUACAUGAGGAUGCCAUUGAGCCUACCUUUCAGAAAGGUUGGCUUUGUGUCUCAUGUAGCAGUAACUAUGGUAAAACAUUGCUAACGGACUCAAUAUUUUGGUAUCAGUCUGUGUCUUUCCGUAUUAAUAUAUUAUUAAUCAGUAUGCUAAAAAAAAGUGAAUGACUGAAAAAAAUAAUGAAAUAUGUAUGAACCUAAAUACAGGCAAAAAUUGCCUUGCAAACGUUUACACAACAGGAAUUCAUGUUAACAAAUGUUACAUUUUACUACCCUUCCUCACUUAGUUGACAAAAUUCACUUUAACAAUUUUUUCCCCAUGGACAAUUUUAGCAGGUGCAGCCUCAAUCAGCUGAUUCCAUCCAACAAUCCUCCUCAUACUCCUAGUAAUACAUUUUUUUUUUUUUUUGGGGGGGGGGGGGGGAUUUCAAUAAUAAUUGGAGUGUAUGGAAAAGUCUACAUUCAUAGGUGCAGCAUUUUAUAUUGGAAAAGGCUGCUACAGAGACAGCCUUCAAGCAUUUUUUGUAUCUGUUGUUCAGUAAUGACAUCAAUGGUUUUGAAAAAUUCCAGGGCAUAUUUAGAGGAUUUUGAGGGGGAUCUAUCUGUAAGUCUUGCUGAUUUCCCCCAAAAUCACCAUCAUAAUUCCCACUUCCCAUUAUAUACUUCCCACAAAGACAGGUAUGAAUGAAAAAUGAAAUUUGAUACUGCCAUGUUCCAAGCAAAUACAGCUUCAACCUCUUGUGGUGUAUCUACUUCUUCAGAGGAGCUAACGCCAGUGGAAUGUCAUGAAAUACAUACAUACUACAUUUCAUCUCUAUUUUCAUUGGACACCAAAAAUGUAAUCAUCUACACUACUUUCUGUAUACACAGGGUGGGGAGUCAGAAUAAAUUUAGCUUAAAACAAAUUUAAAACAAAAGUAUAAGAGAAAGAAAAAGAAGACACAUUAGCCAGAAAAGGAAAGCUGGUCCUUUGUUAUGGGUCCAAUAGCUGGCUACAUCCCUACUACAUCUGUACUGACCCUGACCAAUGUCUCUCAAUCCACUAGAGAGUGAGUCAAACAAGGGUUUUCCUGCCAAACUGUCCUCCUCCAUUCCUCCAAGGUAUUAAUUAAUUGCUUUCUUCCCUAAACUCCAUUCCAUGCUAGCAGUCUCUUCACCAUAUGCUUAGUUCUCUUUUGCAAGAUCAUCCCUGCUGGCCACAUCACCUCACCCACCCUACGGCGCCAAACUUGAUAUUGAAAGUCCCUCUGAGCAAGUGUCCAGGCUUCCUCUUUCCCAUUUUAAGUACCUUAUGGUAGGAUCCAUCGACUUGCUCAAGUCACGAAUCUCGUGCCAUAAAUUCUUAUCCCCACUUGUUCCCUCCAUCCCCUCAAUAUGACCACACCUCACCAUGCUUACAUCUGUUUGCUUCUCAAAUGAUCACCAAAUUCCACAUCUCUUUCCACUUUUCCAUUUCUUACCAUGUCUGUUCUAUAGAAUGAGAUCAAAUAUACAGUUCCUCUUUUCUAUAUUUUUUCAAAUGUUUUCCCAGUACUGGUGACAUAUUACAUAUAUUACUUUGAACCCUAAAUAUUUGAAUAAUGUAGCAUGUUCUGUGUACUCUCGCACUUGUACUGAGGUUUGCCUUUUUGUCUUUAUACCACUCUUAAGUCUGGCUUUAGAAGAUGCAGUAUUAUGCAUAUGUAUUUCAAAAGCACUAUAGUGAAACCAAAUUAUCGAGUGUUUGGGCGUUGGCUCCCACAGGUCCUUUCCUCCCCUCUGCUCUGCCACACAGUCCCAACACCUAUCUCUUCCUCUCAUAUGUAAGGUAUAGGCAACAUAUGAGAGGAAAAAAUAGGUGUUGGGACUGUGUGGCAGAGCAGAGGGUACAAAUGGACUGUGUGGCAGAGCAGAGGGGACAAAUGGACUGUGUGGCAGAGCAGAGGGUACAAAUGGACUGUGUGGCAGAGCAGAGGGGACAAAUGGACUGUGUGGCAGAGCAGAGGGGACAAAUGGACUGUGUGGCAGAGCAGAGGGGACAAAUGGACUGUGUGGCAGAGCAGAGGGGACAAAUGGACUGUGUGGCAGAGCAGAGGGGACAAAUGGACUGUGUGGCAGAGCAGAGGGGACAAAUGGACUGUGUGGCAGAGCAGAGGGUACAAAUGGACUGUGUGGCAGAGCAGAGGGUACAAAUGGACUGUGUGGCAGAGCAGAGGGGACAAAUGGACUGUGUGGCAGAGCAGAGGGGACAAAUGGACCCGCGGGACCCAAUGCCCAAACGGACGCGACAAUUUGGUUUCACUAUAGAAAGGAUAUAAAAUGUAUCUGACCUCCAUUUCUUGAUGUAGUGUCUUUGUUCAUUCCAACUUGUAAAGCUUUAUUUGCACCCAAUACCCUUAUUACCUGUGUUUUCAUCAAUGCAUUUAUGUUUGGCAUAAUGUGCAAGAAUUAUAUAAGCAUAUCUUUUUUUUUUUCAUUGUGACGAGGAUUAUAAGUGACAUGUUUUUUCCUCUGAAGCAGUGGUCUGACAAACUUAAGGAAUUAUAUUUUACUGUUGGACUUUGCUUGAAACAAGUAACAUGUGAUAUGUGAGAAUUUUAAAUACUUUGUUAUACUCACAAGCAGUGGUGUGAUGCCAAUUGAGGGCUGAUACCAAAGUAAAUCCAUCUUAUUCAACUGAGCUUGACGGAGCAGUAAUGGAAGUUAGUUACUCGUGUAGUGGUGGGUACUUGGGGUGACUGGCUAGUUUUUGGUACAUUAUAGUUUUUGUAAUUGGAAAAAAACAGUGUGUUCAAUGUAUUUUGCUUACUUUUUUUCAUCAUUCACCUAACCAUUUAACAUGGAGCUUUGCUCCUAACUUUUAUUGAAUUAUAUAAAAGUAAUGUCAUUUAACUGAGCUGAAAUUCUGCUUUUUAGAAUUUGUAUACAUUUUUCAGGUAACUGGUAAAUACAUACAAGUAAACAUUGACAGUUAAUGACUUAUUCUUGUGAAAUUCAGUGGUGAUAGGAAGUCACAAAGUUAUACCUGAUGAAAGGCAUUAUUUAAGGUGUUAAAGGAAGUAUAAGACUUUUUGAAUGAAUGUAGUCAUACAACAGAAGAGAUACUUUACUUAGUAAACACAGCCAAAGAAAGUUUACUUAAUGUAUAUAAACCAUUUACAUCAAAUAACUACAGGUUGAUGGAGAUUCAUGAUCAAAUAUAUUGAAAAAUCAUUAGCAAUGAAGAAUAUGUUCAUGGAACAUACAUGCUUGUUUUUAUGUGUUGUGUCCCUGGUGCACAGCCAUCUUCUUAAGGCUGGGUAUGAGGGGUUGGGCUCUGGUGCAGCAUUAGCACAAAAGAUAUGAAUGAAGAUUAAUUUUAUUUUGUGUUACUAUUUUUGUAUAUCAAUGUUUUCAUAUGGUAGACUGCAAAACAUUAGUUUUGUACAAAAAUAAUUUUUAAGGCUCUUGGAUAGUGUAUGCCAUUCAUUUAGAAGCAUUUGCAAUUUAUCAAGAUUUAUAAUUUUGUACAUGAGAAAGGUUAUCUAAAUUAAAUGUAUUGUCUCAUCCUGGAAAUAUAUGUGACAGCCAAGAAAUCA
This is a long non-coding RNA of Eriocheir sinensis (Chinese mitten crab), 5911 nucleotides long. RefSeq lists it as uncharacterized. The transcript has 2 exons. Lineage: Eukaryota; Metazoa; Arthropoda; Malacostraca; Decapoda; Varunidae. The record is from RefSeq and is a predicted model, not a curated record.